Molecule: ribosomal RNA, 1008 nt
Filed under: human metagenome
Description: bacterial LSU rRNA
Rfam family: Bacterial large subunit ribosomal RNA
Source: RNAcentral
GUAAACGGCGGCCGUAACUAUAACGGUCCUAAGGUAGCGAAAUUCCUUGUCGGGUAAGUUCCGACCCGCACGAAUGGCGUAACGAUGGCCACACUGUCUCCUCCCGAGACUCAGCGAAGUUGAAAUGGUUGUGAAGAUGCAAUCUCCCCGCUGCUAGACGGAAAGACCCCGUGAACCUUUACUGUAGCUUUGCAUUGGACUUUGAAGUCACUUGUGUAGGAUAGGUGGGAGGCUUUGAAGCAGAGACGCCAGUCUCUGUGGAGCCGUCCUUGAAAUACCACCCUGGUGUCUUUGAGGUUCUAACCCAGACCCGUAAUCCGGGUCGGGGACCGUGCAUGGUAGGCAGUUUGACUGGGGCGGUCUCCUCCCAAAGAGUAACGGAGGAGUUCGAAGGUUACCUAGGUCCGGUCGGAAAUCGGACUGAUAGUGCAAUGGCAAAAGGUAGCUUAACUGCGAGACCGACAAGUCGAGCAGGUGCGAAAGCAGGACAUAGUGAUCCGGUGGUUCUGUAUGGAAGGGCCAUCGCUCAACGGAUAAAAGGUACUCCGGGGAUAACAGGCUGAUUCCGCCCAAGAGUUCAUAUCGACGGCGGAGUUUGGCACCUCGAUGUCGGCUCAUCACAUCCUGGGGCUGUAGUCGGUCCCAAGGGUAUGGCUGUUCGCCAUUUAAAGUGGUACGUGAGCUGGGUUUAAAACGUCGUGAGACAGUUUGGUCCCUAUCUGCAGUGGGCGUUGGAAGUUUGACGGGGGCUGCUCCUAGUACGAGAGGACCGGAGUGGACGAACCUCUGGUGUACCGGUUGUAACGCCAGUUGCAUAGCCGGGUAGCUAAGUUCGGAAGAGAUAAGCGCUGAAAGCAUCUAAGCGCGAAACUCGCCUGAAGAUGAGACUUCCCUUGUGGUUUAACCACACUAAAGAGUCGUUCGAGACCAGGACGUUGAUAGGUGGGGUGUGGAAGCGCGGUAACGCGUGAAGCUAACCCAUACUAAUUGCUCGUGAGGCUUGACUCU